AGAGUUUGAUCCAUGGCUCAGAUUGAACGCUGGCGGCAGGCCUAACACAUGCAAGUCGAGCGGGGUUUUCGGACCUAGCGGCGGACGGGUGAGUAAUGCGUAGGAAGCUACCCGAUAGAGGGGGAUACCAGUUGGAAACGACUGUUAAUACCGCAUAAUGUCUACGGACCAAAGUGUGGGACCUUCGGGCCACAUGCUAUCGGAUGCGCCUACGUGGGAUUAGCUAGUUGGUGAGGUAAUGGCUCACCAAGGCGACGAUCUCUAGCUGGUUUGAGAGGAUGAUCAGCCACACUGGAACUGAGACACGGUCCAGACUCCUACGGGAGGCAGCAGUGGGGAAUAUUGGACAAUGGGCGCAAGCCUGAUCCAGCCAUGCCGCGUGUGUGAAGAAGGCCUUCGGGUUGUAAAGCACUUUCAGCGAGGAGGAGAAAGGUUGGAUGUUAA
This 444-nucleotide ribosomal RNA is filed under the name Rheinheimera chironomi. Its description in RNAcentral is "bacterial SSU rRNA". It matches the Rfam family "Bacterial small subunit ribosomal RNA", at positions 8 to 465 of the family's 1533-position model. Lineage: Bacteria; Pseudomonadati; Pseudomonadota; Gammaproteobacteria; Chromatiales; Chromatiaceae. The record is from RNAcentral.